UUCUGUCUGUCCCGAGCGGCUUGUAGUCUUCGCGUUAUUAGCAGUACCUUAUCUCUAGCACUCUGGACCAAUUCAGGACCGAGUAGUUUUCGCUCUCCGACCUCAUCCCAAUGCAGCGGAGAUCGGCAUUUCCUUCCAUAUAGAGCUUCAUAUGGUGCCAUUUGGAUGCUGGAAUGGUAACUGUUGUUGUAGGCAAACUCUACCAGAGGUAUGUGGUCGUCCCAGCCUCCACCUAGGUCCAUGGUACAAGCUCUCAACAUGUCUUCC
Molecule: long non-coding RNA, 267 nt
Filed under: Phoenix dactylifera (date palm)
Lineage: Eukaryota; Viridiplantae; Streptophyta; Magnoliopsida; Arecales; Arecaceae
Description: long non-coding RNA (PDAC_LNC020498)
Source: RNAcentral